This 75-nucleotide non-coding RNA is filed under the name Clostridium tetani. The record is from RNAcentral. Lineage: Bacteria; Bacillati; Bacillota; Clostridia; Eubacteriales; Clostridiaceae.
UAACCUACAUAGUGAUAUGUGGCUGAAUUAUCAGAAGUCAGCAGAGGUCAUAAGUUUUGUAGAUAUGCUGAUGAU